RNAcentral lists this non-coding RNA (169 nucleotides) under uncultured Acetatifactor sp. RNAcentral's name for it is "Lysine riboswitch". It matches the Rfam family "Lysine riboswitch aptamer". Rfam says of the family: Riboswitches are metabolite binding domains within certain messenger RNAs that serve as precision sensors for their corresponding targets. Allosteric rearrangement of mRNA structure is mediated by ligand binding, and this results in modulation of gene expression. Lineage: Bacteria; Bacillati; Bacillota; Clostridia; Lachnospirales; Lachnospiraceae. The record is from RNAcentral.
UAGAUAGAGGUUGCGUGUUUCAAGAGUAGGUUAUCUGAUGCAGCAGGUGCAGAGGAGGAUGACACAAAAGGGGAAGACGCCGAAAGUCCGAAUAUCCUGCGGGUUCGGUCUUGGGCAUAUGAUUAAGAGUCAUAUGACUGUCAUCUGGAAGCAGAUGGGGCGCUAUCGA